GUAAACGGCGGCCGUAACUAUAACGGUCCUAAGGUAGCGAAAUUCCUUGUCGGGUAAGUUCCGACCUGCACGAAUGGCGUAAUGAUGGCCAGGCUGUCUCCACCCGAGACUCAGUGAAAUUGAACUCGCUGUGAAGAUGCAGUGUACCCGCGGCAAGACGGAAAGACCCCGUGAACCUUUACUAUAGCUUGACACUGAACAUUGAGCCUUGAUGUGUAGGAUAGGUGGGAGGCUUUGAAGUGUGGACGCCAGUCUGCAUGGAGCCGACCUUGAAAUACCACCCUUUAAUGUUUGAUGUUCUAACGUGGACCCGUAAUCCGGGUUGCGGACAGUGUCUGGUGGGUAGUUUGACUGGGGCGGUCUCCUCCUAAAGAGUAACGGAGGAGCACGAAGGUUGGCUAAUCCUGGUCGGACAUCAGGAGGUUAGUGCAAUGGCAUAAGCCAGCUUGACUGCGAGCGUGACGGCGCGAGCAGGUGCGAAAGCAGGUCAUAGUGAUCCGGUGGUUCUGAAUGGAAGGGCCAUCGCUCAACGGAUAAAAGGUACUCCGGGGAUAACAGGCUGAUACCGCCCGAGAGUUCAUAUCGACGGCGGUGUUUGGCACCUCGAUGUCGGCUCAUCACAUCCUGGGGCUGAAGU
Molecule: ribosomal RNA, 637 nt
Filed under: Salmonella enterica subsp. enterica serovar Derby
Lineage: Bacteria; Pseudomonadati; Pseudomonadota; Gammaproteobacteria; Enterobacterales; Enterobacteriaceae
Rfam family: Bacterial large subunit ribosomal RNA
Source: RNAcentral